Malus domestica (apple) is the source of this 1842-nucleotide non-coding RNA. Lineage: Eukaryota; Viridiplantae; Streptophyta; Magnoliopsida; Rosales; Rosaceae. The record is from RefSeq and is a predicted model, not a curated record.
UCCAAACACAAAAGUUACGUUGACAAAAAGAACGGUUGAUACUUGAUAGCUUAAAGCCUAAUGGCUUCACCUUCACCUUCAAGCUCCAUCCUUCUUUCUCAAUCUCUGAUCGAUUUCAAAUUCCACCACUGAAAACCCAGUUUCCGAAGACGUUUCUUUCGAGCUCCAGCAAUGGGAUUCAGAUUCCACAAUCUCAAUUCUGUACGCAAAAGGCUCGCUUUCCACGUUCACAAGCACAAUCAUCGUCCUCCUCUUCCCAGUCCCACAAUAUCCCAGCCCCUCGAUUCCCAUCUGCAAAACCCUAUUUACUCGAUCGCCAGACGGUGGCAUUUGGGCCACUCCCACCACCAAAACGAUGAUCAGCAUCGCCUCUCCGGUGAAGAGGGGGAGAAGAUUUUCCGGAUGGGAUUGGCAGCUGAUGUUGGACUGGCUGCCGGGAAAGCUUUGACGGGUUACUUGUCCGGAAGCACGGCGAUCAUUGCUGAUGCCGCCCAUUCGGUCUCCGACGUGGUUCUUAGCAGCGUUGCUUUAUGGUCAUUUAAAGCUGCAAAGGCUCCGAAAGACAAAGAACACCCAUAUGGACACGGUAAAUUUGAGACUCUUGGAGCACUUGGAAUCUCUUGUAUGCUGUUGGCCACGGCUGGUGGCAUUGCAUGGCAUGCUUUGGAUCUUUUGAUGGGAUUGUUUUCAGCAGAUCCUGCUAUAGUUAGUCAGUCAUUGACACAUGAGCAUGGGCAUAGUCAUCGUCAUCAUGGAGUUGACAUGGAGUACCCUGUUCUAGCACUGAGCAUGACUGUUUUUUCAAUAUCUGUUAAGGAAGGACUUUACUGGAUUACAUUACGGGCUGGGGAAAGACAAGGUAGUGGACUGAUGAAAGCAAAUGCAUGGCAUCAUCGUGCAGAUGCCAUUUCGUCAGUAGUUGCUCUCAUUGGAGUUGGAGGUUCAAUCCUUGGAGUAAAGUUUCUGGAUCCCCUAGCUGGACUUCUUGUCGCAGGCAUGAUCCUGAAGGCGGGAAUUGAAACUGGGCAUCAGAGUGUCUUGGAACUGGUGGAUGCUGCAAUCCCAGCAGAACUUUUGGAUCCUAUGAAACAAACAAUUGUACAAGUCGAGGGUGUGAAGGGUUGUCAUCGCUUGAGGGCAAGGAGGGCUGGUUCAUCUCUAUACCUUGAUGUACAUAUUGAGGUUGAUCCUUUUUGUAGUGUUAGCGCUGCACAUGACAUUGGAGAAAAUGUUCGUCGUCAGAUUCACAAAUCCCAUCCUGAAGUCUCUGAGGUUUUCAUACACAUAGAUCCUUCAAUUUCACAAAUUUGCCCCAGUGAAGAUCAGCCAGAAAUUCUCAAAGAAACUGCAUGCCCAAAUGUUUCUCCUGCAGAAAAAGACAUUGAGGCAGCUGUUUCUACCAUCAUCUCGUCGAAGUAUGCAGAGACACCCAAUGUUCUUGUUUCUGCUUGUGUUUCAGAAAAUGGUUGUUGAACGCAUAACGCAUCACUUGUUACAAGGCAAGAUGUAUCUCCAAAUUGAGGUUUCCAUGCCCCCGGACAUUGUAAUUCGAGAUGCAAUGGAGGUGGCAAAAGAAGCCGAGCAAGACAUUUUGACGGCGGCGACGAAUCUCAUUCACGUCGGCAUUCAGCUGCGUCUGAGGAAUCCAAUUCCACAGUUCAACAGUGACUAAGAAGCCAGAAAGAAGGCAAGUGUGUGUUAGACUACAGGGUUUUCCAAUUCCACAAUAAAAAUUUAUUCUUUUAGGUUUUAGAUUAUUUGCAUAUAUGAUAUAUUAGAAUAAUAAAUUAAUCUUUGAUUACGAAAAUAAUAUAUUAAUUAUUAAAAUUUGUCUCUCAUAAA